AUCAAAGUAAAAUCUAAUUUAAACACGAGGAAAUGCAAAAACACUUUUAAGAAAAAGCUUAGCUUUUUCUUAAAAACCUCCACAGUGGAUGAAGUCUUCACAUCCUCAGGCAGGUCAUUUCACAGGCGAGACCCAGUUUUCAGUCUGUACUUGCUCUAAAAAAGGUCUAAAUUUCUCAGGUUGUCCCUGGGUUAAAUCAUAAUCUUUCUCUCUGCCCACAGAUUGAACCAUCCAUCAUACAUCCGAGAAAAUCUCUCCUCCUCCAGUGACCCAUUCCCUCUCUUUGCUGUUUGCCAUUUCACUGCUAAAAAACAAUGAAUCAAUGAAAGAGAGAGGGAGGUGUGUGUGCAUCUCCUGCCACAGCUGUUGAGCUCCCCUCGUACGUGCUCACAUCCGGAGAGACGAGAAGGAGGAGGCGGGGAGGCAGACGUCCGUCCCAGGCUCUGCAGACUCACUAUUCUCUUUUCCUUUUUCGUGCUCCGAGUGUUUGGAAUGACCAGCUUUCCUGCCUGCGUCGUUUCCAUGUCAGCAUGGGAACUGCCGCGUCCAG
RNAcentral lists this long non-coding RNA (550 nucleotides) under Oryzias sinensis (Chinese medaka). RNAcentral's name for it is "lncRNA (ENSOSIG00000020586.1)". The record is from RNAcentral. Lineage: Eukaryota; Metazoa; Chordata; Actinopteri; Beloniformes; Adrianichthyidae.